Molecule: long non-coding RNA, 1090 nt
Organism: Ostrinia nubilalis (European corn borer)
Lineage: Eukaryota; Metazoa; Arthropoda; Insecta; Lepidoptera; Crambidae
Exons: 2
Source: RefSeq, a predicted model, not a curated record
AAAACCGUAAUUUCAAUAAUAAUUAGUCAUUGAAGAGACCCUUAUUCCUACAUAUAUUCGAAAGUCUGAGCUCGAAACAUGUUCCUUCGCGCCGGAUGACAUGUUCCAUCGCACCAGCUGACGGGAUUCAAGAUACCACAGAAGUCGAUACCUGUUGCGUGUCAAGAGAGAAACCCUGUGAAAGAAGCAGCUCUGGAAUAACGGUCAGGUUAAACCACUCCUUUCCCUUCCUAUUUUAAUCGAUUUGUGCUAAUAUUGUGUCGCGUUUGCGGAUUUCAGUCGAUAUUUCAACCGUUACAACUACCUACCUACGUUGUCGCGUUGGUGGGUGCCGGGUCUGCCUAUUGCAACGAGCGUCGGGGUGAUCUAUACGAUUAUCCCUCCGACUACCUUCCCUUAACUCCAUCCCACUUCCUCAUUGGCCGCCCCCUGACCGCUCCAGCCGCUGUCGACAUCACCGAGGCACAGACUAGACGCCUGACACGCUACGACAGGAUCGAACAGCUUCGCCAACACUUCUGGAAGCGCUGGGCCACUGAAUACGUCACUGAGCUUCAAAUUCGAACCAAGUGGAAGACAAACACAAAUGAAAUAAAACUGGAUAGUCUAGUUUUAAUCAAGGACGAUCAACAACCACCACUCAAGUGGAGAUUGGGAAGAAUUGCUGAAAUUUUUCCCGGCAAAGAUGGAGUUGCACGCGUCGCAAACAUUCGAACAUCGACUGGAAUAGUGAAGCGGGCGUUUUCAAAACUUUGUCCUCUUCCGCUUCCUACAACAAAUGAAAAUGAAGAUUGCAUCGCUUCAAUCAACAAUCAAUGAAACUAAACGAAGAUCGAAGAACCUACUACCGGACUACAUUUUGAAAGUCAAUCAUGACCUUUCAAGGCUGGCGGUAUGUUAGCGCCAUCUAUGGGCGCAAGAAAACAACUCAUGACGUCAAAGGCGCGGAACCAGAGUGAAGAUCGCAGCUAACUUCGCGCCGCUCCGCCCUCCUGUCAACUUAAAAUCGAACGUUUCUAACACUCGACAAUUUGAUCUCGUUGCAUACAGUCUGUAAACCUAUCACUUUAAAUAAACGUUAAAACCGUAA